GCUGAAGAAGAAUGUUCCAGUAGUGUUUGUUACUUUUGGUGUCUGGAAAGAGAGCAUGCGACUACUAAACCUUCAACAACAAAAAAGUUCUGUGUCAAGAAAUCACUGUGAAAAGGAGUUUGUAUGAGAGGUCGCUGACGAGGGCUGUGAACGGCGUACACGGACAUGCUGGGGUGCUCGAUCAGUAGGUUCUCCAGAGGACUUGUCUCCAGCAGGACCGGAGCUCUGCCUCCAGCCAUGAAACACGGUGGAGGAGUGAUGAACCAGCUCUCCUCCAGCCCACACGUGGCCUCCAGAUGCAAGAAGUUGCCGUCCUCUGCAUCAGUGUCUGCCACCGAAUCCAGAGAGGAGCAGGAGGAGCAGCGCACGGGAGGGUCAAGCGGAGCAACGUCAUCAUGGCAAACCUCCAGAUCAUCUCCACAUGCACCAGAGCAGGCCUUUGCUACAGGAACAGACGACAGAGAGGAUGUUAUAGAAAGUUGUGGCAUAUAUUCACUGAACAUCACACUACAGCCCAGCAAAACAACACCUGACAGACUGCACUAUGGACAAAAGCAAUAAAGGCAUUUUCAAAAC
This 576-nucleotide long non-coding RNA is filed under the name Danio rerio (zebrafish). RNAcentral describes it as "si:ch211-233e16.4 (ENSDARG00000100586.2)". The record is from RNAcentral. Lineage: Eukaryota; Metazoa; Chordata; Actinopteri; Cypriniformes; Danionidae.